RNAcentral lists this transfer RNA (73 nucleotides) under Vulcanimicrobiota bacterium. RNAcentral describes it as "tRNA-Ala". It matches the Rfam family "tRNA". Rfam says of the family: Transfer RNA (tRNA) molecules are approximately 80 nucleotides in length. The record is from RNAcentral. Lineage: Bacteria; Bacillati; Vulcanimicrobiota.
GGGGGAUUAGCUCAGCUGGUAGAGCGCUUGCAUGGCAUGCAAGAGGUCAACGGUUCGAUCCCGUUAUCCUCCA